UACGGAGGGGGCGAGCGUUGUUCGGAAUCAUUGGGCGUAAAGGGCGCGUAGGCGGCCGAUCAAGUCGGAGGUGAAAUCCCUCGGCUCAACUGAGGAACUGCCUUCGAUACUGUUCGGCUUGAGUGCAGGAGAGGAACGCGGAAUUCCAGGUGUAGCGGUGAAAUGCGUAGAUAUCAGGAGGAACACCGGUGGUGUAGACGGCUUUCUGGACCGUAACUGACGCUGAGACACGAAAGCGUGGGUAGCAAACAGG
RNAcentral lists this ribosomal RNA (253 nucleotides) under uncultured prokaryote. Its description in RNAcentral is "partial 16S ribosomal RNA". It matches the Rfam family "Bacterial small subunit ribosomal RNA", at positions 524 to 776 of the family's 1533-position model. The record is from RNAcentral.